AGAUGCACUCACUGAAAUGUUCAGUCAAAUGAGGCCAAAUAUAGUAGCCCUGGAAGAGCCAGUAAUUGGCAAAAAAGUAAUCAAAGAGUUUUAAAUGAAUUGUAAGCAACAAAGACAAAUGGCCGAUGUUCAGGCCUUCAAAGCUAAAUUAAUGGCUUUCAAUACAGAAUGUAAAGACAAGACGAAAGAAGAAGCAGCCUUGAAAGCAUUGGGAGACAAAUUGGCAGUGUUCGAGUUGGAACAAAGUAUUGGCC
Molecule: long non-coding RNA, 254 nt
Filed under: Olea europaea (common olive)
Lineage: Eukaryota; Viridiplantae; Streptophyta; Magnoliopsida; Lamiales; Oleaceae
Description: long non-coding RNA (OEUR_LNC011643)
Source: RNAcentral